CCUACGGGUGGCAGCAGUGAGGAAUAUUGGUCAAUGGGCGGAAGCCUGAACCAGCCAAGUAGCGUGCGGGAUGAAGGCCCUACGGGUCGUAAACCGCUUUUGCACGGGGAUAACACCCUCCACUUGUGGAGGUCUGCAGGUACCGUGCGAAUAAGGGCCGGCUAAUUCCGUGCCAGCAGCCGCGGUAAUACGGAGGGUGCGAGCGUUAAUCGGAAUUACUGGGCGUAAAGCGCUCGUAGGCGGUAUGUCAAGUCAAGGGUGAAAUCCCCGCGCUCAACGUGGGAACUGCCUUUGAAACUGGCAAACUGGAGUGUGUGAGAGGAUAGUGGAAUUCCAGGUGUAGGAGUGAAAUCCGUAGAUAUCUGGAGGAACAUCAGUGGCGAAGGCGACUAUCUGGAACAUAACUGACGCUGAGGAGCGAAAGCGUGGGUAGCAAACAGGAUUAGAUACCCUGGUAGUC
This 460-nucleotide ribosomal RNA is filed under the name uncultured bacterium. RNAcentral's name for it is "partial 16S ribosomal RNA". It matches the Rfam family "Bacterial small subunit ribosomal RNA", at positions 338 to 795 of the family's 1533-position model. The record is from RNAcentral.